This is a non-coding RNA of Xyrichtys novacula (pearly razorfish), 393 nucleotides long. Lineage: Eukaryota; Metazoa; Chordata; Actinopteri; Labriformes; Labridae. The record is from the annotation of a GenBank genome assembly.
CUGGUCAAUAUAAAAAAAUCAAAAUUAAUUCAUAAUUAAAACUAAUGCAGAAUAUUUUACAUAUGGUUGUCUUCUGAUGUGAUUGACUUUAUUGUUCUAGCCUCUUCUUUUAAAUGCUCCAAAGUGUUUUUUUUACCAUAUUCACCAUAUUCUGGUGGAUGACUUCAGAAAAGCAGUAGCCACAAGAAGGCUUGUGCUCACAAAUCACUUAAUAUUGGGUGCCAGGGACUAAUGUUUUGGGAAAUCCCUUAGAGCAUUUCUAUAAUCUAAAGGUUCACAUUCACAAGCUAUAUAUAACCAUGAUGCUUCAAACCUGGACAACUAACUUUUGACGCUAAAUCAGAUCAGUUUACCCUUGAUUCAAAAAGGUUACCUUGGCAAAUUAAAAAAUAA